CGGCACGGGUGAGUAACGCGUAUGCGACCUGCCCGUUGCAGGGGGAUAAUCGGGAGAAAUCCCGUCUAAUACCGCGUAACGCCGCGGGGCUGCAUGGCCCUGCGGCCAAAGGGAGCGAUUCCGGCAACGGAUGGGCAUGCGUGACAUUAGCUAGUUGGCGGGGCAACGGCCCACCAAGGCGACGAUGCCUAGGGGUUCUGAGAGGAAGGUCCCCCACACUGGUACUGAGACACGGACCAGACUCCUACGGAAGGCAGCAG
Molecule: ribosomal RNA, 260 nt
Filed under: uncultured bacterium
Lineage: Bacteria
Description: partial 16S ribosomal RNA
Rfam family: Bacterial small subunit ribosomal RNA
Source: RNAcentral